This 439-nucleotide ribosomal RNA is filed under the name uncultured bacterium. RNAcentral's name for it is "partial 16S ribosomal RNA". It matches the Rfam family "Bacterial small subunit ribosomal RNA", at positions 339 to 795 of the family's 1533-position model. The record is from RNAcentral.
CUACGGGACGCUGCAGUGGGGAAUCUUGGACAAUGGGCGCAAGCCUGAUCCAGCCAUGCCGCGUGAGUGAAGAAGGCCUUAGGGUCGUAAAGCUCUUUCGCCAGAGAUGAUAAUGACAGUAUCUGGUAAAGAAACCCCGGCUAACUCCGUGCCAGCAGCCGCGGUAAUACGGAGGGGGUUAGCGUUGUUCGGAAUUACUGGGCGUAAAGCGCGCGUAGGCGGAUUAGUCAGUCAGAGGUGAAAUCCCAGGGCUCAACCCUGGAACUGCCUUUGAUACUGCUAGUCUUGAGUUCGAGAGAGGUGAGUGGAAUUCCGAGUGUAGAGGUGAAAUUCGUAGAUAUUCGGAGGAACACCAGUGGCGAAGGCGGCUCACUGGCUCGAUACUGACGCUGAGGUGCGAAAGUGUGGGGAGCAAACAGGAUUAGAUACCCUAGUAGUC